Molecule: ribosomal RNA, 510 nt
Filed under: Agabetes acuductus
Lineage: Eukaryota; Metazoa; Arthropoda; Insecta; Coleoptera; Dytiscidae
Description: partial 16S ribosomal RNA
Rfam family: Bacterial large subunit ribosomal RNA (bases 384-510)
Source: RNAcentral
GUCUUUUUGAUCAUAAUUUAAAGUCUAAUCUGCCCACUGAAAAAUUUAAAGGGCCGCAGUAAAUUGACUGUGCAAAGGUAGCAUAAUCAUUAGUUUUUUAAUUAAAAGCUUGUAUGAAUGAUUGGACAAGGUAAAUUCUGUCUCUAAAUAAAAAUUUGAAUUUAAUUUUUAAGUUAAAAAGCUUAAAUAUUAUUAAAAGACGAGAAGACCCUAUAGAUCUUUAUAAUAUUUAUUAUAAUUUUUUUUUAGAAUUUUUAAUAAUAUUUUAAUAAAAAUUAUUUAAUUGGGGUAAUUUAAAGAUUUAAAAAAUUCUUUAUAAAUUUAACAUAGUUUAAUGAAUAUAUGAUCCAAAAAUUUUGAUUAAAAGAUUAAGUUACCUUAGGGAUAACAGCGUAAUUUUUUUAGAGAGUUCAUAUCAAUAAAAAAGUUUGCGACCUCGAUGUUGGAUUAAAAAUUAUCUUAGGUGCAGAAGUUUAAGAUUUUGGUCUGUUCGACCAUUAAAUUUUUACA